CAUUAACGAAAGCACGUGGGCGAGGUUGUAGCUGGCCC
RNAcentral lists this ribosomal RNA (38 nucleotides) under Polypus dispansus. RNAcentral describes it as "Albatrellus dispansus partial 18S ribosomal RNA". The record is from RNAcentral. Lineage: Eukaryota; Fungi; Basidiomycota; Agaricomycetes; Russulales.